This 384-nucleotide ribosomal RNA is filed under the name uncultured Staphylococcus sp. Its description in RNAcentral is "bacterial SSU rRNA". It matches the Rfam family "Bacterial small subunit ribosomal RNA", at positions 73 to 449 of the family's 1533-position model. Lineage: Bacteria; Bacillati; Bacillota; Bacilli; Caryophanales; Staphylococcaceae. The record is from RNAcentral.
GAGGAGCUUGCUCCUCUGACGUUAGCGGCGGACGGGUGAGUAACACGUGGGUAACCUACCUAUAAGACUGGAAUAACUCCGGGAAACCGGGGCUAAUGCCGGAUAAUAUGCAGAACCGCAUGGUUCUGCAAUGAAAGACGGUUUUGCUGUCACUUAUAGAUGGACCCGCGCCGUAUUAGCUAGUUGGUAAGGUAACGGCUUACCAAGGCAACGAUACGUAGCCGACCUGAGAGGGUGAUCGGCCACACUGGAACUGAGACACGGUCCAGACUCCUACGGGAGGCAGCAGUAGGGAAUCUUCCGCAAUGGGCGAAAGCCUGACGGAGCAACGCCGCGUGAGUGAUGAAGGUCUUCGGAUCGUAAAACUCUGUUAUUAGGGAAGAA